RNAcentral lists this non-coding RNA (21 nucleotides) under Caenorhabditis elegans. The record is from RNAcentral. Lineage: Eukaryota; Metazoa; Nematoda; Chromadorea; Rhabditida; Rhabditidae.
UGUUGUACUCCAAAAGCAAUA